GCGACGUAGCCAAGCGGUAAGGCGAAGGUCUGCAAAACCUUUAUUCAGCGGUUCAAUUCCGCUCGUCGC
Molecule: transfer RNA, 69 nt
Filed under: Desulfobulbus oralis
Lineage: Bacteria; Pseudomonadati; Thermodesulfobacteriota; Desulfobulbia; Desulfobulbales; Desulfobulbaceae
Rfam family: tRNA
About the family: Transfer RNA (tRNA) molecules are approximately 80 nucleotides in length.
Source: RNAcentral